GCAGGCUUAACACAUGCAAGUCGAACUGGUCCUUCGGGAUAGUGGCGGACGGGUGAGUGACACGUGGGAACGUACCCUUAGGUUCGGAACAACACAGGGAAACUUGUGCUAAUACCGGAUGAGCCCUUCGGGGGAAAGAUUUAUCGCCUUUGGAGCGGCCCGCGUCUGAUCAGCUAGUUGGUGAGGUAAUGGCUCACCAAGGCGACGAUCAGUAGCUGGUCUGAGAGGAUGGCCAGCCACACUGGGACUGAGACACGGCCCAGACUCCUGCGGGAGGCAGCAGUGGGGAAUCUUGCGCAAUGGGCGAAAGCCUGACGCAGCCAUGCCGCGUGGAUGAUGAAGGUCUUAGGAUUGUAAAAUCCUUUCACCGGGGACGAUAAUGACGGUACCCGGAGAAGAAGCCCCGGCUAACUUCGUGCCAGCAGCCGCGGUAAUACGAAGGGGGCUAGCGUUGCUCGGAAUUACUGGGCGUAAAGGGCGCGUAGGCGGACAGUUAAGUUGGGGGUGAAAGCCCGGGGCUCAACCUCGGAAUUGCCUUCAAUACUGGCUGUCUUGAGUACGGGAGAGGUGAGUGGAACUCCGAGUGUAGAGGUGAAAUUCGUAGAUAUUCGGAAGAACACCAGUGGCGAAGGCGACUCACUGGCCCCGUUACUGACGCUGAGGCGCGAAAGCGUGGGGAGCAAACAGGAUUAGAUACCCUGGUAGUCCACGCCGUAAAACGAUGAGUGCUAGUUGUCGGCAUGCAUGCAUGUCGGUGGCGCAGCUAAACGCAUUAAGCCACUCCGCCUGGGGGAGUACGGUCGCAAGAUUA
Molecule: ribosomal RNA, 811 nt
Filed under: uncultured bacterium
Lineage: Bacteria
Description: bacterial SSU rRNA
Rfam family: Bacterial small subunit ribosomal RNA
Source: RNAcentral